This 422-nucleotide ribosomal RNA is filed under the name uncultured Ferruginibacter sp. RNAcentral describes it as "bacterial SSU rRNA". It matches the Rfam family "Bacterial small subunit ribosomal RNA", at positions 355 to 774 of the family's 1533-position model. The record is from RNAcentral. Lineage: Bacteria; Pseudomonadati; Bacteroidota; Chitinophagia; Chitinophagales; Chitinophagaceae.
UAAGGAAUAUUGGUCAAUGGACGCAAGUCUGAACCAGCCAUGCCGCGUGAAGGAUGAAGGCCCUCUGGGUUGUAAACUUCUUUUAUCUGGGACGAAAAAAGGGAAUUCUUUCCCACUUGACGGUACCAGAGGAAUAAGCACCGGCUAACUCCGUGCCAGCAGCCGCGGUAAUACGGAGGGUGCAAGCGUUAUCCGGAUUUACUGGGUUUAAAGGGUGCGUAGGUGGAUUAAUAAGUCAGGGGUGAAAUCUUCAAGCUUAACUUGGAAACUGCCUUUGAUACUAUUAGUCUUGAAUAUCCUGGAGGUGAGCGGAAUAUGUCAUGUAGCGGUGAAAUGCUUAGAUAUGACAUAGAACACCAAUUGCGAAGGCAGCUCACUACGGGAUUAUUGACACUGAGGCACGAAAGCGUGGGGAUCAAACA